GCCACGCUCCUCUUGUAUGCCUUGACGGUGGGGCUCUUUU
This 40-nucleotide non-coding RNA is filed under the name Palpitomonas bilix. The record is from RNAcentral.